RNAcentral lists this ribosomal RNA (482 nucleotides) under uncultured bacterium. RNAcentral describes it as "partial 16S ribosomal RNA". It matches the Rfam family "Bacterial small subunit ribosomal RNA", at positions 28 to 523 of the family's 1533-position model. The record is from RNAcentral.
GACGAACGCUGGCGGCGUGCUUAACACAUGCAAGUCGAACGAUGAAGCCGGAGCUUGCUCUGGUGAAUUAGUGGCGAACGGGUGAGUAACACGUGAGUAACCUGCCCUUGACUCUGGGAUAACUGCUAGAAAUGGUAGCUAAUACCGGAUACGACCCUCGGAGGCAUCUCCAGGGGGUGGAAAGAAUUUCGGUCAAGGAUGGACUCGCGGCCUAUCAGCUAGUUGGUGAGGUAAUGGGUCACCAAGGCGACGACGGGUAGCCGGCCUGCGGGGGUGACCGGCCACUGGGACUGAGACACGGCCCAGACUCCUACGGGAGGCAGCAGUGGGGAAUAUUGCACAAUGGGCGCAAGCCUGAUGCAGCAACGCCGCGUGAGGGAUGACGGCCUUCGGGUUGUAAACCUCUUUUAGUAGGGAAGAAGCGAAAGUGACGGUACCUGCAGAAAAAGCACCGGCUAACUACGUGCCAGCAGCCGCCGUAA